Entelurus aequoreus (snake pipefish) is the source of this 2412-nucleotide long non-coding RNA. RefSeq lists it as uncharacterized. The record is from RefSeq and is a predicted model, not a curated record. The transcript has 3 exons. Lineage: Eukaryota; Metazoa; Chordata; Actinopteri; Syngnathiformes; Syngnathidae.
CCAACGUCAGCAUGCUUUUCCAAUUCCGACUGCUUCGAAACCGGUUGUCAAUCUUCUCCUUCAUUUCCCCCAUACGCUCUCGCCAUGCCACGAUGGGAACGACCACAACCGGUGUAAACACCCCACAUUCAGAGUUGAAAGUCUCCAGGGAAAAGACGUCGGGCUCGGUCGGAUAGGGACCGGUGAUUUUAGGAGCACGAAGACUGGCGCGGAAAAACCAACGACCCGCGGCCGAAGAUUUCGUCUCCCAAGUAGCGCUGAACAGAAUUCUUCUCUCACUCAACUCAGCCAUCGUCGGGAGGCCCCUGGACUCCUGUCACGAUUUAACAAACUGGCGGACCCAAAAGCAGACAAGAAGACAGAUCCAAAGUCCAAAGGUUUUAAUUUAAACAAACGUGGGAUGAGGGAGAGGAGUAGUCAGCUGGAGUGGAGGUGUUUGGCAGGCAAGAAGGCUUGGAGUAGGUAGGCACUGAAGGCAGACGAAAACAGGGACAUCCAUCCGGAUUUCUGAAUGCCUUCCUCGAUCCUCGACCCAUGCUCGGACACCGACUACGCUGCCACUCUCCUACCCUCGACUGCCUGCUUUCUUACGGACUGCCUCUUCGCCUUGCCCCCUUGACUCGACGAAAGUUCCAUCCAACACUCACAGACAACAAACUCUGGUAAUGCUUACACGGUUAAUUCUACACAUCGUCUACACCCAGUCACUUAGAGUAGCAUACACACGCCACUCACUCAUCAAAGGUUUCACAAAACCUUGUAAACCACAGUUCAGCCUUGGUUGUCGCCUCCUUCCAUUCUCAGUACAUAACAAAAACAUUAGUACAACUUCUCAGAGGGUGAGAUAACUCCUGGAAAUUACUGUCAUAGAAUGGCCAAAGGUGUGUGUCCAAGUUAAAGGACGUAUUACAAUCUUUGCAAGCUGGGUAACGUUUGCUGUGGUCUGGAACAACAUGGCGACAAACAACUAUAAGAAAUGCAGCCAAUAUUACAUACAGAUAAUGUGUCAUGCAGCAUGGAAAAAUAAACUAAAUACACAUAAGGAAAUUAAAUGAGCUCAAAUAUAGCUACAAAUGAGGCAUAUAAUGCAAUAUGUACAUACAGCUAGCCUAAAUAGCAUGUUAGCAUCUAUUAGCUUGCAGUCAUGCAGUGACCUGAUGAGCACUCAACACAAAACGAUAACAUCAACAAAGCUCACCUUUGUGCAUUCACGCACAGCAUAAAAUGUUUGGUGGACAAAAUGAGAAAGAAAGAGUGGCAUAAAACAUGUCUUUCUGUGGCAGCAUGUAAACAAACUGUUGAGUCACAAUCCACACAAUGGUGAGUUCAAGGGCUGCUGAAAUUAGUAGGACAAAACGGCACUCACCAAAUACUCUCAUCAGUGAAGCAUAAACACAAACAUAUUAAGCGGUGGGCUUUCUAACAAUUGGGAAUGUUUGUGUCGUGUUUGUCCUACAGAAACCAUAUUACAACAAAAAACAUUUUUCACCCCAUUUUUUUUUCCAUUUUCAUACAUUUUUGAAAAAGCUCCAUGGAGCCACCAGGGCACCGCUAAAGAGCCGCAUGUGGCCCUAGAGCCGCGGGUUGCUGUCCCCCGGACUAUACUUUACUAAAGUACAAGUUACACAUGAACGUACCGCUGCAUGUCCCUCCUCCAUCAGGCCUAUCGGUCCGCGUGAGGACAUUCCCAUGUUGAACAGAUAGUUAGAACUACACGCAAGCCCUUCUAACACCCAGAACACAUCACCUUGAGACCAACACAAGGCUAAAGAACUGUCAUUAUGAUCAGAAUCGACAUGGAUCACUCAGCUGGUGAGUCCUAAAAAAUUCACUCCCCAUUAAUAGAGAAUAUAUAUUUUCUCAUGCCAUACAGUUUUUAAAGCCUGUUUUUAUUUAUCUUAAUACAGGGGUGUUAUAAAGGAAUCAAUAGAAGUAAAAAAGCAUGGUUGGUUACAUGACAAAGGUGCAUGAUGGACUUGAACACUGCAUCGUCACAUACCAUUGGAUGGGCAUUCUGUAAGGACGAUACAUUACACGACCAACACACCCAGAGAUGAGGACAUUGAAAUCAUGAGAUAUGUAUGCAAAAAGCCAGAACUGUGGAACCACCGACUGUCCCAUGGGAUUUGAUGGUCCUGAAUGUUGUUCACACGUCUAAAACAUUGUCUGGCAUUUUUAAAAUUGUGUUAAUGGAUUGGAAUGACGACCAUUUUCACAUAGCCCACCUGUUCACUGUCUAUGCACUGUUUAUGGAUGUUGUGAUGUAUUGCAUACAAAAUUCCAUAACUGUAAACAUUACCGCAGAGUUAACAUGACUACAAACAAUAAUUGAACUGAAAGCAAAACAAUCCGUAUUAAAGCAGGGUCUCAGGGUCAUCUGAUCAUGAAUGUUUCUAUCAAUUUAUCUUUAUA